Molecule: long non-coding RNA, 3882 nt
Filed under: Trifolium pratense (red clover)
Lineage: Eukaryota; Viridiplantae; Streptophyta; Magnoliopsida; Fabales; Fabaceae
Description: long non-coding RNA (TPRA_LNC000114)
Source: RNAcentral
AGCCAUUCACUUGCAUUCAAAAACAGUGGGAAUCUUCUCCUUUCCCAAGCUCUCUCACGAGCUCUCUUCCUCUGUCAUCACUCUAUAAUUUGCCUCUUCUCUUGGCCACUCCUAUUUUCAAGUAUGAAUCAGAUUUUUUUAAUUAUUCUCAUGUUCUUCUCAACAAAAAAUCAGAAUAAAUACCCCUUUGGAGAUCACAGAAUCAUUCAUUCAUUCAUUCAUCAAACACAAGUAACACUAAGGAAAAUCCAUUCUUUCUUCAAUCGAGCUUCAAGAACUCAAUUUAGAGGUUUUGGAUAGGAGCUGAAGGGAGUUUCUGAGGCAGUAACCGAGCUUGUUAGCAGAUUAAAGCUCCAUUCUCAGGUGGGUUCUUAGGUUCCUUACCUUAAGAAUUAGUUAGAAGCUUAGUUGCCCCAAAAUAAUAUUACUGCAUACUAAUAUCAGGUUAAUUUAGGAUAUUUAGAAUUGAACUGUAAUUGGAUUAAUUAACUACUGAUAUAAGUCCCUACAUGACUGAAAUAAUGGAAAUUCAUGGAAUCUAUUGUAAAUAAGUGAUUUAUAAACUCUUUGGAAAGUUCUGUUCUUGAAAUUAUGCAGGAAGUCAUGUUGAAUCAGUUCAAACGGGACAUGAACCGGUGCACAAUUGUUCUAGAACACGAGAAUGUGUGUCUGAAACUUAUGAGUCGAUGCAUACAUGAUAUGAACCAGCACAUAAGUUUCGCAGCGUAUUUUUAUAAAAAAAAUUAUGGGCAACUUUGUAUCGGUGCAUACUUGGGUGAACCGGUUCAAGCACAACUAGCAGGGCUUUGCAUUGGUGCAGAUACAGAAUGAACCGAUUCAUGACACCCAAAACUUAUUUUUCUAAAACAACUGAAGCAAUUUAUUAUUUUUCUAUAAUAAUUAGAUUCCAUGGUUUCAUGUUUUCUUUCAUGUUUUAAAAUCAAGUUAGACUAUAAACUAGGUGAAGAAAUUAUGACUGUUUAGAAUCACCCGGGAAGGUUUAAUUUUCUUUUGGGUAGGACAACAAUUAAGUAAAUCAGAUAAGUUAUGUUAUUCAGUAUGCGUGGUCGCUAGCACCAUGUCAGUGGAUUCAUUCAGAAUCUAAAUUUAUGAAUUAAGAACCGUAAGCUCAUGUUGUAUUUCGACGUACAUUAUUAUCGGUAAUACCAGGCCAGGCACUCCGGGACCGGCUUACCCCGUGGUGAUCCUGUUAUGAUAAAAAAAUUGACAAGAUAAUUAUUAUGUGUGUUACACCUUUAUUGCUUAUAAUAUGUAAGACUUAUAAGAAUUUUAUUCAGAUUAGAAAUAUACACACUUUGGAAAAUUUCCCCCGGUGUAGUCACCAUUAGUCGGGUAGUAGGACUCACUGAGGCUUAGUAGUCUCAUCCCACUCCUCUUAAUUUUUUUUCAGAUAAGCAGGUGGCAUAAGGUAACGAGCUUUUGGAUGGAGCUUUUUAUGUUCAAGGACUUCAUGUUUAAGUUUUAUGAUCAUAAUAUUAUGUUAUGUAUAAGUUUAAGGCUAUGUCACUUGCUUACGAAUUCAUGUAUUCAGCAACUGCGUUUGCCAAUUCUGAACCCUUUUGUAUUGUAAGUUUAAUGAACUCUGUAUCGAUUAAGCAUUUUCGCAUUAUAUUCUAGACUAUGUAAUGUGGGGUGUUACAUUUUCCAUGCAGCACUUGCAAAAUUCAAGAAACAUUGGUCCUGUUUUUGAAAUGACAUCCUUCGAACUAAGAUAUGCUACAGAUUUAUCUGUCACUACUAUUAAAAUAUCUUCUAUACCUCGAACAAGAUUAACCAAAUAUGGUGACUCGCGAGUAUAUAUUUCAAAUAGAAGUUUAAUCUAACAAUAAACAGCCAUACACAGUCCAUCAGAAAUGAAUUGGAUCCUAAUGAUCCAAAACUGCCCAAGUAUUCCCCAGGGUUAACAGAUUCUCACAUCUUCUAUCAAAUAUACUUUUUAGCUGAUUAAUGUUUGGGAUCCACCAACUACCUUGACUAAUCAUUACGACUGAGCUGAAGUACCUAUCGAGCAUUUUGCAGAAGAGCAUUGGCUUCCUCAUUUGAGGCAUCGAGUGCACGCAAUUCCUUGAUUUCUUCCUGCCAUUUUUCAACCUGCUCCUUAUGAAUCCUGCAUAUUUGAAAUUAAAAGAAUCAUAAUUCAGACCACAAAUUGUCAAGAUAUAACAAUAUUAAAAGUGAAACAUAGUUUCGGGUAUGAAUGUUUGACAGGAACUUCAUCGCUCACAUUAUCUGUUUCUCUUCAAAUUCAUUGCAUAGGUCCUUAAACAUUGUUUUCCCUGAUUAUAGGAGCUCAGAUACCUACAUGAAAUCCAACCUCUCAAACAGUGUAUAACUAUAUAUGGAUACCCUUUGAGUAAAAUUCUCAAUCUUCUCAAGUACAAGAGAAAUAUUGAGUUCCAUUUCUUCAGACCCAACUUGAUUAGUCUCAAAUCCUUCCUCCUGUACAAGUACAAUCUGCGACUCAGCUUCAUCUCCUAUCUUUUCUUGAACCUGUAUAUUGUGAAAAGAAAAACAAAUGAAAGCUAAAAAUGCAGUACAAUAUUCAUAACAGCGAAAAGGUUCAAAGAUGAAAACAAUCACCUCAGGUUUCAUACGUUUCCUUGUAGAUCCACUGCUCAUGCUUCCCUUUUGAGUUGACAUUGGUUAAACCUACAGAUACAGAAACCUUUGAAUUACAAUUUCCAGGUUAAAUAAAUUUCUCAACUACAAUUACUUUAUUAUGAUCAAUUAUCGAAAAUUUCUCACAGGUCUUGUUAGUGACAAAGAAGUUAAAUCAUAGAAUUAAAAAAAUAAAUAAAAAUUGAGAUGCUAAAAUUAAUUUCAAACUUAUACUAGCAAUUUAUAUUCAAACAAUAUAUAAUUAUAAACGAAAUUCUUUUAAUAUUUCUUAAUACAUGAAUGUAUUUGGAGAAGUUUAUGCAUACACUCAAAAACACUUAGAAAAUUCAUCCAUGAAUCUGAAUGAAAAUUACGUUAAACAUAAUAUCGAAUCUGAAGGUAAAAUUACUCAUGAUUCAAAUACAACUAUAACGAUUAACAAACGAAUAACAUAAUAUCGAACAGAUUGAGAACUUAAUCAACAUGCAUAAACCAAAUCGAAAGGAAACUGUAUAUUCAUAUCAUAUAUCGACGUUUGAUUAAGGAAACUAGCUUCGAUUAAUUACCAAAACGUUAAUUGAAAAAAGGAAGAUCGUGAAAUUAGAUAUUCCGAUGAAUUUGCAUUAUGCUUUUAAGAAGUAAUAACGAAGAAGAUGAAAAAACGGUUGAGAUGAUUUUACCGGUUAGGUUUUCUGAUUGCGUUUUGUUUGAUUGUUCAAAUCUGAAACUUGCUAGAGAAGAAUUGAAAGAGCGAUCUUGCGAAAAUUUGCAGAUUUGUUUUUUCACUUUUAAAAUGGAAGCAUUCUUUUCGUUCCAAACUUCCAUGUUUUGAAAUUCGCGCGCUUUCGUCUAUCAGACUGGAUAUUGGGCUAAAGGUAAUUAGGCCUACAUGAAGGGCCCAUAUGACUAUACAUGGAGAGAUUUUCUUUCGGCCCCCCACAAUUCUUCUCGUGCGUCUUGCUAAAUUAUAAAAAUAUCUCCUAAGUAGUAAACUGAGUUCGCUAGUUAAGUAGUGAGUAUGUAUGAUGGUUUUUUUAAAAAAAAACUUGUUGAAAUUUGGUUGUUCUGAUACCGUGUGUUUUAUUGUUCAUAAAUGGAUUGCGUUAAAGGAAACUGAGAUGAAUGGACCACUGCGUUUUCAAGGCGAAAACGGGCACGACAAUGGGAGAUUCAACAAUGUGUGCGGCUUGAGCCUCAGGAGGAUGAGUAGGAGGAGGCAGAGAGUCAAUGAUAAUAAGUGCUAAAAAUUAGUGGGUAUUAUUG